RNAcentral lists this small RNA (4242 nucleotides) under Rattus norvegicus (Norway rat). Its description in RNAcentral is "uncharacterized LOC102547969". The record is from RNAcentral. Lineage: Eukaryota; Metazoa; Chordata; Mammalia; Rodentia; Muridae.
UAGGGGAGGAAGAAUAAAAGGUCAAGUUCACUAGGAAUACCUACCAGGCUGACUCUGCAUAUCCCUUAAAACAUGUCUGGUUACUCUGGAAUACUGUUGGUCCAUUCUCUUCUUCUGGGGUGAGCUGCUCUCGGGGACACCCUGGGUGUCUACACAGUCCCUUCCUUUGUACUGUCUCUUCACCCUAUCCUUGUCCUCCCUGGCUCUCCUUUCAGAAACGCUGUUCAUUCUGUGCAUUGAUUUCUGGCCUUUGUCCUUCUGUCCAUCCUGGAUCAAUGGUCAGAAAUAACAUGAGAGGUCAGAGGGUUUUCCCAGUCCACCCCUGAAGCAGACAUUAACCCUUUGUGGGCUCCUACCUGUCUGCAGAAGGCCUCUCUCAGGCUCACCCACCGUGAAGGAAGCAUACCAUUCCCCCGGCCACCAUAGUCCCUCAAUACUCUAACGUUUCAGUAGCCUUGGAUACAAUGGAUUUUUAAUUGGUCAGGGAAUAGGGGAAGUGGUCCCAAUGGUGAACAAGACCCGAGGAGGGGUCCUGGCUAGACGACUGGCCAGCGCCAGGGGAAGUGAACAUAUAAAGCUGAUUGGUGGCUAGAGUUCCAACUGAACCCUCCUUCUGCCACUGGUUUUCCCUCUUGUCCUGCUCUCUAUUAAACUGAUGGUUGGUGAAUUCUACAGACUCUUGGGAUGUGUAGAUUUUCCUUUCUGGGGAAGGUUUGGAAGAGAGUGGUACCACAGGGGUGGCUCUCUCAGGGCCGUGGGUAGGCAAAGCUAGCAGUCCUGAGGAAGCAGUGUCCAGCGAAGACCCAACUGAUCAGAUUUAGAUAUUUGUCUCUUGGCAGUGGUGGCUGGAAGUGAUGAGAUAUCUAGAAAGUGGGAAUGGUAGGAGGCUCUUUCCAAAGAAGGAAACAGCUCAUGUGGAAUGAAUGACUUCUUGCUUUAGGGCAAACCGGUGGCAUCUGCUUUUAGUGACAUUUCAAGGUCCCAGCAGAGCCGGACCUGUGUGUGUGUGUGUGUGUGUGUGUGUGUGUGUGUGUGUGUGUGUAUUAAAUGUGCAUUGUCUCUGGUUGUUCCUGGUACAAGAUGCUUCAUGUAUGUGGGAGUGGGACCAUCCCUUUGCCAGGGUUUGACCCCUUACUUUCUUUCUGUUUGGGUGGAGGGUGGGGUGGUCACUGGAGAGGAGUGGAAGUGACUAAGCCUGUGGAAGGGGGAUUAGUGACUUGAUAUAAUACCUGUAUUGGGAACCCAAGGAGCCCAUGACCAAAGGUCAGCAGGGCUCUGAGGUUGGACAGACCCUUACUUACCUUACUUAACAGACCCCACCCCCCGACCCCAGACAGGGGUUUGAAGCACUCUGAGUCUUUGAGGAUUGUGGUGUUAGGCAGGAGGCAGGAGGCAGGAGGCAGGAGGCAGGAGGCAGGAGGCAGGAGGCAGGAGGCAGGAGGCAGGAGGCAGGAGGCAGGAGGCAGGAGGCAGGAGGCAGACUCCCUGGAUCCCAAGAGAGAUGACUCUUCUCUGCCCCUACCUCACCUAGCUCUCAAGGACAUAUGAAGGUUGUGGUGGAGGGCAGCCCCCACACUCUGCUGUACACUUAGCUCCCCACUCUUUCUUCACCCUCCCACUCCCACUCCAUGGAAGUUGGGGUAGGAGCUCCUGCUAUGCUUGGUAACAGCAGGAAGGACUGGGGCAAACUUUCAGGCCUAGGAGACAGAUUUCUGAAGACUAGAAAAGAGCAGACAGAGCCCCAGCUUUUUUCCUCUCUUUGGCUCCCUAACACGGCUAUGUGCCCCAUGUGCUCCCUUGUCCCCCAGCUCUGUGAAACAGCUGGCCUGCCCUCCUCCAUCCCCCUUCAACACCAAAUGGAGGCAGGUAUCAGGUCCAGUCUGACAGCCGGAGGCAGGUCUCAGAACCUCUGGUCCCCCAGUCUCCAUUCCUGGGCCCGCUUUCCUGGUUCAAAAGUCAUCUUAGCCAAUCUGCUGUCUCUGGGCAUAGGUAUAUUUCUUGACCCCAUAGAAACUCCUUAUUCUCCUCAUCUCAGGCGUGUGAGGAGGUCUCAACACACCCUCUCCAGUCCCUAGGUCUCCAGGUAGGGAGAGGAGAAGCCAGGGUACCUGGCCCUCCCUGGAUCUGAGAAGCAGAAGUUUCAAAGAGCACACCUGCUUGGUCCCUUUUCAUCCACACCCAAUUCUACAAAAAAGCUCUAGCAAUGUGGAAACCUCUCUUUCUCCUGCCCAUACCCAGAGGUCUGAUAAUUUCAGAUGGAGAGCUUGACAGUGAGUGACUGGGGGCAGGAGUCCUGGGGAGCUGGAUGCUCUUGGGGACCGAUGGUCCCCACAUUCGAGGGAAUGCAAAAGAAGACGGGCUGCAGAUAGUAAGUAGCCCCUUCCAUACGCUCACUGACGCUGACACACACUGCUCACUCACACACUGCCGCCUCUGCCAGGCUGCUCCGAGCUAAAAAUAGGCCAGGCCAGGAGGCUGGGCCAGGGCCUUGCACUCCCACCCGGUGAGCCAAGCUUUCUUGGUGGCUUGCUUUCUGGCUGAGCUUGGACCCCAGGCCCAGACGCUACAGUUCGCCGCGCUACGUCCCGCAUCUCACCCCCACUCCCUACUCCAUAGGGCAGAGUUAUACCCAGGUCCCACGUGCUCCGACUUGCAGAAGGGAACACCAGCUUGCAGACCCCCGCCCUCGCUCCAAAGCGCCUCCAUAGCUGUCCUCAUCCCUUUCCGUGCCACACUCAUAGCCCAGGUGCGGAUGACUCGGAGGAACUGAAGACAAUAUGGAACCUUGUUUUCUGACCAUGAGAAUAGCAGUCGCUAACCCAGUGGGCUGCAUGUCAACAUGCCAUGCGGUGUGGGUGGGGGAAGACUCCCAGAGGUCUGCCAGCUUUGUGGCCAGCCUACAAUGGGAGCCACUAUGAUGUGCAGGAACCCAGAAACCUGAAAUGCUCCCAACUGGCUGGAAAUCUCAGCUUCCUGUGGUGCUCUGACACUCUCCUGUAUAGAAUUUCAACAUCUUCUGAGAUUUGAAGACACUUGAUGGAAAAUGUUGUAGAGAGUUCACACCAUCCAUAGUCAUUGUACUGGGAGAGAGAAGGAAGCAAAUGGGCAGGAACAUUGAUUACGGGCUUCCGCAUGGUUUCCAGUGACAGCACAGACCACAAACAUGCCAUCCAGCUACAGAAGAAACAAAGACCCAGACAAGGCCCUCAGAGGCAGCCUGGACCACUAGCAUCAACAUGGCCUCAGGUGACAGUGUAGCGCACUCACCUCAAUAUGAUCCCUGGUAGCAACACUGCUCAUAGAUAACAUGGCCCCAGGAUGCAGCAUAGAGAAAUCUGAGACCUGGGACCCAGACAUGGCCCUUGGCAGCAGCAUGAUCUGGACAUCACCAUGGCCCCAGGUGUCAGUGCAGACCACCGAUACCAAAAUGGCCCCUGGUGGUAGCAUGGCCAUGGACAUAAAUACAUCAUCAGGUUGUAGCACGGAGCAUGCACAUCCUUAUAGCCUUGGAUGGUAACACAGACCACAGACCAACAUGGCCUUGGUCAUAUCAGGACUCACUCAUGGCACUUAGCAGUAGUACAAACCUUAUGCCUCAACAUGGCCUUAGGUGGCUACACAAGCCAUUCACAUCAACACUUCUCUCUUCAAAUGGGCUUCAAUUAGCAGCAGACUGCAUAUGUUCACAUGGAUUAUCUUUAUAGAUCUGGGGGAGAAGUUUUAUUUUGUUCAUUUAUUUGUUUUUUUUUUGUGUGUGUUUGUUUUUUUGUUUUUGUUUUUGUUUUUCAAGACAGAGUUUCUCAGUCCUAGCUGUCUUUGUAUUCACUUUGUAGACAAGGCUAACCUUUAGGGACCCUGUUAAUCAUCUGAUGUAUUUGAAACCAUAUUAUGAUGGUUAGUUUUAAUUUUCAAGUGUACACAGCCUAGAAUUACCUAGGAAAAUUGUCUAAAUGAGGAGUUUAAUUUGGGUUGGCCUAUGGGCAUGUGUGUAGAAUAUUGUCUUAAUUAAGAUAAUUUUAUGAGAAGGCCCAAUGCAGUAUGGGGGGCUCCAUUGCCUAAACAAGGGUCUUGGUCUGUAUAAGAGUAGAAAAAUCCAAGUCAGCAAACUUGUACACCAAUACUUCUGCAGCUUUUGACUGUGAAUGUGAUGAGACCAGCUCUUUGAAGUUCCUUCCUUGAUUUCCCCAUGAUGAUAGACUGUAAUCUGAAAACAUAAGCUAAAUAAACCCUUUUCUCCAUAUU